Molecule: ribosomal RNA, 484 nt
Filed under: uncultured bacterium
Lineage: Bacteria
Description: partial 16S ribosomal RNA
Rfam family: Bacterial small subunit ribosomal RNA
Source: RNAcentral
AUUGAACGCUGGCGGCAGGCCUAACACAUGCAAGUCGAGCGGAUGAAGGGAGCUUGCUCCUGGAUUCAGCGGCGGACGGGUGAGUAAUGCCUAGGAAUCUGCCUGGUAGUGGGGGAUAACGUCCGGAAACGGGCGCUAAUACCGCAUACGUCCUGAGGGAGAAAGUGGGGGAUCUUCGGACCUCACGCUAUCAGAUGAGCCUAGGUCGGAUUAGCUAGUUGGUGGGGUAAAGGCCUACCAAGGCGACGAUCCGUAACUGGUCUGAGAGGAUGAUCAGUCACACUAGAACUGAGACACGGUCCAGACUCCUACGGGAGGCAGCAGUGGGGAAUGUUGGACAGAGGGCGAAAGCCUGAUCCAGCCAUGCCGCGUGUGUGAAGAAGGUCUUCGGAUUGUAAAGCACUUUAAGUUGGGAGGAAGGGCAGUAAGUUAAUACCUUGCUGUUUUGACGUUACCAACAGAAUAAGCACCGGCUAACUUCGUG